UUUCUUUCCUCAGCAGCACAUAUUCUAAAAUUGGAAUGAUACAUCUCGGACUCUCCACAAGGAUGACACACAAAUUCGUGAUGUCUUUCAUACUUUU
This 97-nucleotide small nuclear RNA is filed under the name Rattus norvegicus (Norway rat). The record is from RNAcentral. Lineage: Eukaryota; Metazoa; Chordata; Mammalia; Rodentia; Muridae.